UGCUUUAUACUUAUCUGUGCUGCAGCAAAUCACCAGGAAAGGCUCAAGAUGGCAGGGAACCAGGGCCUUGCUGGCUUGCGUCUUCCUCCCAUGGAAAGCACCGAACGUUCCCAAUGCUUAUUCCUGAAUCAUCCAAGAAGUCCUGCAGUAACAGAAGGGGAAACAACACUUCACAAUCCUCAUCCUUCACUGACAGGGAAAACAGCUUAAUCGUGUCCCUUUCCUGACUGCACAACCCCAUGGGAGUCAGUUCCAACACAAAACAAUGAAAAGACUGUGAGUGGGGCAGGAGCAGAGAAUGACCUCCUGGAAGCUCUGCUGCAUCUGCACAAUACUGCUGGGAGGGAACUUCUGGUAGAGAAGAGGAAAUACAGCAAAGCUGGACAGUAGCACCGCAGCCCAGAGAGAAGUGCUGCACAGUGCCAGAAUAACUGGAAAUGCAAAGUCCUGUGCAGAUCCACUGUUGAACGACAACACUUCAUGCUUGCAGAACUUCUGCUCAAACAAGGCCAGCAAAGCAAGCAUACAGGAGGUGACAUGCAGGUUUCUGAGGACAUCUGUUGGCCUAGCUGUGGCGAGGAGAAGGGCAGCUCGGCUUUCCCCUUGCCUCUUGUGCUGCUGCCCUGCCCCAUCCACCAGGACGGUUGCUCACCCAGUGCCCUGAUGCCUUGUGCCCGGCCACUGCUGCUGCUGGUGGUGGCCUUGUUUGAACUAGAAAGUUUUCCUGGCAGUUCUGCUGGCAUGUGCUACAGACAUAGCAGUGUUGGCAGGAUGCGCUCAAAUUUGGCUGUUUUUUAAAGACGCAAUGUGUCCUCAGAGCAUCAGGCUUUUAUCAGCAGAAGCAGCCUGGCAUUAUGGGAGGCUCACCCAGAACACCUUGUGCUGCGUUUGGUGGAGUGCCUUCUGGUGGUUUCUUGCAGCAUAUUGUGGAGCUGCCAUUGUAUACUGUGAGAUACCAUCAGUCAUAUCAUAAAAUCUGUGUAAAUAUUGGGUCAGAUUUUCAAAAAAAUUUCUGUUUUGUGCAACAACCUAUUUUUACAUGUGUUGUUUUCCCAUAUUGCAGAUUUGUCAUUGC
Cygnus olor (mute swan) is the source of this 1075-nucleotide long non-coding RNA. RefSeq lists it as uncharacterized. The transcript has 3 exons. The record is from RefSeq and is a predicted model, not a curated record. NCBI's taxonomy places the organism in Eukaryota, Metazoa, Chordata, Aves, Anseriformes, Anatidae.